AGCGAACGCUGGCGGCAGGCCUAACACAUGCAAGUCGAACGAACUCUUCGGAGUUAGUGGCGGACGGGUGAGUAACACGUGGGAACGUGCCUUUAGGUUCGGAAUAACUCAGGGCAACUUGUGCUAAUACCGAAUGUGCCCUUCGGGGGAAAGAUUUAUCGCCUUUAGAGCGGCCCGCGUCUGAGUAGCUAGUUGGUGAGGUAAAGGCGCACCAAGGCGACGAUCAGUAGCUGGUCUGAGAGGAUGAUCAGCCACAUUGGGACUGAGACACGGCCCAAACGCCUACGGGAGGCAGCAGUGGGGAAUCUUGCGCAAUGGGCGAAAGCCUGACGCAGCCAUGCCGCGUGAAUGAUGAAGGUCUUAGGAUUGUAAAAGUCUUUCACCGGGGACGAUAAUGACGGUACCCGGAGAAGAAGCCCCGGCUAACUUCGUG
Molecule: ribosomal RNA, 433 nt
Filed under: uncultured bacterium
Lineage: Bacteria
Description: partial 16S ribosomal RNA
Rfam family: Bacterial small subunit ribosomal RNA
Source: RNAcentral